CAUACUUAAAAAAUAAGUGAUGCAGUAUCCUAGUCAGCAUCACCUUUCUGAAGGCGGGCCUAAAAAUCCGUCAAGGGCACAUCGAUGAAGUUCCUGGUGCUGGCUUUUGACGCCCAGUUGGGGGCUGGUACUGGGAGUUAAGGGGAUGGGGCGACCUGCAACGGCAUGUGGGCAUCGACCCCGUCCCCGUGGAGACCCAAGUGCGUGGGGAGUCGGCAACGACAAACUAUGGCUUGGUUGUUAACCUGCAUGUGGUAGGAAGCUGCGUGCAGUGUAGCCUGACUUGAAGUGGCACUGGUGAAUUCCUCUGGUACAACAGCUGCCUACGGGCCCGUAAGCGGUUGUUGUGGGAUGAAACCUUUGCUGCAAAAGAGUCUAAGAAAGCCUGAUGCUGUUGAGGAAAACUCCUAGGCUGUCCGGUACACGCCGGGGCAGGUCAGGGAUUAAAGUGUGGACUAAGUGGUAAUCCAGCCCUGAGAGCGGCGACGCCUCUGAUAGGGUUUAAUGGGAAACCGCCGGUUUGGCGACAGCCGGUACCGCUAUGGGAAAACCUGCUGGACCUAAGCCACAACGUUUACCUGAUCUGCUACCACUUAUUAAAUUUACAUA
This 609-nucleotide small RNA is filed under the name Desulforamulus hydrothermalis Lam5 = DSM 18033. Lineage: Bacteria; Bacillati; Bacillota; Clostridia; Eubacteriales; Peptococcaceae. The record is from RNAcentral.